GUGGGGAAUAUUGCGCAAUGGGGGAAACCCUGACGCAGCGACGCCGCGUGGAGGACGAAGGCCUUCGGGUUGUAAACUUCUUUUAUAGGGGAAGAUAGUGACGGUACCCUAUGAAUAAGCCACGGCUAACUCUGUGCCAGCAGCCGCGGUAAGACAGAGGUGGCGAGCGUUGUUCGGAAUUACUGGGCUUAAAGGGCGCGUAGGCGGUGGUGCAAGUCUGUGGUGGAAUCUCAGGGCUCAACCUUGAAAUUGCCAUGGAAACUGCAUGACUUGAGUCAGUGAGGGGAGGGCGGAAUUCCUGGUGUAGCAGUGAAAUGCGUAGAUAUCAGGAGGAAGGCCGGCGGCGAAGGCGGCCCUCUGGCACUUGACUGACGCUGAGGCGCGAAAGCGUGGGGAGCAAACAGGAUUAGAAACCCCGGUAGUCC
This 425-nucleotide ribosomal RNA is filed under the name uncultured bacterium. RNAcentral's name for it is "bacterial SSU rRNA". It matches the Rfam family "Bacterial small subunit ribosomal RNA", at positions 354 to 796 of the family's 1533-position model. The record is from RNAcentral.